Molecule: non-coding RNA, 400 nt
Organism: Paramuricea clavata
Lineage: Eukaryota; Metazoa; Cnidaria; Anthozoa; Malacalcyonacea; Plexauridae
Source: the annotation of a GenBank genome assembly
AAAUAUGGUACAACACAUAUGUUACGAAAAGUCAAAAACCAAACUGACAAACUAAUUAGUACACAUAAACUCAAACGGAACAGCACAAACGGGACAAGACGUCCCAUACGGGCUAAGUGCCGAAAUUUGGCAUGAAAAAUUGAGAUAAAGUUCCUGGAAAGCAAUUGCAACAUACUCCAACGGAAAAAUUUUUUACCUAAAAAGUUGUGUCCGAAAACUUUUUUAAAUAGGGCCCCCUACUAAAAAUUUUCCCCGGGCCUUCGCCAACCUCUCGGCGGCCCUGGUUCCAUGCAAGGUGUUCCCCGUAAUUACUUUAAAUAUAACUAAAGGUAGGAUAGAGCCACUAAAUGGAGCCAAAUCAACCUCAAAAGUGCUACUCUGCAACCAAGUGCAUUGUGGG